AUGGCCUGGUUUUGCCCAGCCGUAGCUCCGCCAGUGCCCUUAAGUCACUGGCCAUACCACAACGCUCCAAUUACAUCCUCCAUCUCCGCCUUAUUGCGGUCAUCAUGCUUACACAAGCUGAUACUGCAUUCUUACGCGCAAUUUUCCAAGGAUAUGUGUUUGUUUGAUGUCAGCUUUGACACGGACACAGCGAUUCGGUGCCCGAGCGCAGCUGGACCUGAAAUCGUCCGCGUUGGUUGUGGUCUAGGGAUUCGCAGAAUUCUUUCUGACACGUCUGGGCGUAUUGCAUUGAAAAAGCGAGAUACUGCUCGUCUGGACCGCGUACGCAGCCGGUCGUUGUGGGGCCGCCGCUUUGCACAACGCUCGUGCCAACCGCAACGCUUCUCGAAACCAGCCGCCGCCGCGGACAGCUAUCCACUAUCCUCCCGAGGGCCGCCGCUGACCAUGGCUGCGCUGCCCCCCAUCGCCUUGACUUGCAGGUUUCCAUUCCGUCAAGACUUUGCGGACAGCUUGAACCUCCCAGAUCCGGUUCCUCUGGCGGUCCUCCCGCGGAUUGCUGCGAGCGCUGAGCCGGCUGAGUGGAAUGCCGUCUACUGGUGCGGCCAGCGUAUUGGCGGCGCUAGACAGGGCAGGCCGCAGGACGACGGGCGACAGCGGCGGGAGGCUUCUCCGACAAGGUCGGCGGAGUCAACGGACAGGGUGAAUCUGGAGGGUCUGGAUGGACAAAAAGUUUUUAGAAAAGGACAUCUAGAUGCUGCAGAAAAUUCUGGAGAAGUUGCGGGUGUCCAGAAGAUGUGUAUACAGUCUGUUACGUCUUGGGAGUGCGCCGCCGGACAGAACACGUGUCCAUCUAGGACGAGUGCCCGAGAGCAGUCAAUCCGCAAUUUCGACUCACUUGGCGAGGCGUACUACUUCUACAAUAUGUAUUCGUGGGAGAUCGGGUUAGGGAUAAGGUAUGGCAAGCGCCCUAUAACGGUGUCAAUCCUCCAAGGCUCCAACCCCCAGGGAAUCAACGUGAAGACUGUCUCCUACAGGAAGACGACUUCCUCUGCAGUUCCAUGGGAAGAGGGCGGCUACUGCCAGGGGCGCCGCUUGCUGACCACCGGCAAUCGAGGAGGUCACCAGGGAUGGCCGGAUGGACUCCAUGACAGAGGGGGAGAGGGCGGCCUCCGCCGCUGCCACCGGAGUGGAGAUCGGUGGGAGAGAGUUGAUGCCGGCACCGGGGUGGUGAGGAGGUGGGUGCUCUCAGCAGGGGACAAUGGAACUCCGCAAAAGGCCGUGACAUUAAAAAUAGUGCAUGCUGAGUGUUCGCGUGCAUGGGGUGGCAUGCAUGUGGAUGAAUGUGUUCCCGGGUCGCGAGAAGACGGACUUGCAAAUAGCAUUCCAAGAAAACAAGGCUCUCCCGACCGCGACCGCGCCGCCCCCGUGGGCGGCCGGCCGCGCCUCUCCUCCUUCCCCGCGAGCCCUCCCCCCUCUCCUCCUCCUCCCUGCUGCCCCAUCAGGAAGCGGUGGCGAGCGGCGAUGAUCGGCGGGUCUGGUGGCGUCGACGCCAGCCUGCUGCAGCAUGGCCGGCGGGGCUUAGCGGGCCAUUUCGGGCCUGGCCGGGCCAGGGGUGGCCCGGUAUGCCCCGCUGUCGUGUCCGGACGGCUACCGCGACGGUGCCGGAGGCGCGAUCCUCCCACACGACAGCGGUGGAGGUGGUUCCCUCCUGCUCGGCCUUGGUGCUGCUGCUCCCAUCGCUUGGAUCUUCUCUCCGGUCUUCUUGACCUCGUGGUGGUGCUCGCAGCAAGACGACGUUGGUGGCGGCGCAACCGUGAUAGCGCAUGGUUGGGCGGUGGUUUGGUUGGUCGGCUCCGAUUGGCCGGUGGGGUUUGGCGUGCGGGAGAAAACCUUGCCGGUUCGUCCGGCUCCGAUGCGGUGACACCAGCGGGUGCCACUAUCCCUUCUUGGAGGGUGCCGGGAGUAGCUAUCCCCCACCUCCCUCCGCGCACUGGGGGGAAACCCUAG
Molecule: ribosomal RNA, 2007 nt
Filed under: Triticum aestivum (bread wheat)
Lineage: Eukaryota; Viridiplantae; Streptophyta; Magnoliopsida; Poales; Poaceae
Description: partial small subunit ribosomal RNA
Source: RNAcentral